Molecule: ribosomal RNA, 418 nt
Filed under: uncultured bacterium
Lineage: Bacteria
Description: bacterial SSU rRNA
Rfam family: Bacterial small subunit ribosomal RNA
Source: RNAcentral
CUCAGAGCGAACGUUAGCGGCGCGCCUAACACAUGCAAGUCGCACGAGAAAGGGGGGCAACCCCCGGUACAGUGGCGCACGGGUGAGUAACACGUAGAUGACCUUCCCUGGAGUGGUGGAUAACCUGCCGAAAGGCGGGCUAAUACAGCAUGGGACCACACGGCUUUGGCCGAGUGGUGAAAGCGGGCCUCUGUUCACAAGCUCGCGCUCUGGGAUGGAUCUGCGGCCCAUCAGCUAGUUGGUGAGGUAACGGCUCACCAAGGCUACGACGGGUAGCUGGUCUGAGAGGAUGAUCAGCCACACUGGAACUGAGACACGGUCCCAGACUCCUACGGGAGGCAGCAGUGGGGAAUCUUGCGCAAUGGGCGAAAGCCUGACGCAGCGACGCCGCGUGGGUGACGAAGGCCUCGGUUGUAAG